UACGGUAGGGUCCGAGCGUUGUCCGGAAUUACUGGGCGUAAAGAGCUCGUAGGUGGUUUGUCGCGUUUGUCCGUGAAAACUCACAGCUCAACUGUGGGCGUGCGGGCGAUACGGGCAGACUGGAGUACUGCAGGGGAGACUGGAAUUCCUGGUGUAGCGGUGGAAUGCGCAGAUAUCAGGAGGAACACCGGUGGCGAAGGCGGGUCUCUGGGCCGUAACUGACGCUGAGGAGCGAAAGCGUGGGGAGCGAACAGG
This 255-nucleotide ribosomal RNA is filed under the name uncultured bacterium. RNAcentral describes it as "partial 16S ribosomal RNA". It matches the Rfam family "Bacterial small subunit ribosomal RNA", at positions 524 to 776 of the family's 1533-position model. The record is from RNAcentral.